Molecule: non-coding RNA, 28 nt
Filed under: Cricetulus griseus (Chinese hamster)
Lineage: Eukaryota; Metazoa; Chordata; Mammalia; Rodentia; Cricetidae
Source: RNAcentral
GUGUGAAGGCAACCCUUUGAUUCACAUG